RNAcentral lists this ribosomal RNA (254 nucleotides) under uncultured bacterium. RNAcentral describes it as "partial 16S ribosomal RNA". It matches the Rfam family "Bacterial small subunit ribosomal RNA", at positions 524 to 776 of the family's 1533-position model. The record is from RNAcentral.
UACGUAGGGUCCGAGCGUUGUCCGGAAUUAUUGGGCGUAAAGGGCUCGUAGGCGGUCUGUUGCGUCGGGAGUGAAAACUUACAGCUUAACUGUGAGCGUGCUUCCGAUACGGGCAGACUUGAGGUAUUCAGGGGAGAACGGAAUUCCGGGUGUAGCGGUGGAAUGCGUAGAGAUCCGGAAGAACACCGGUGGCGAAGGCGGUCUGCUGGGGGUAAUGCUGACACUGAGGCGCGACAGCGUGGGGAGCAAACAGG